RNAcentral lists this ribosomal RNA (388 nucleotides) under uncultured bacterium. RNAcentral describes it as "bacterial SSU rRNA". It matches the Rfam family "Bacterial small subunit ribosomal RNA", at positions 331 to 718 of the family's 1533-position model. The record is from RNAcentral.
CCAGACUCCUACGGGAGGCAGCAGUGGGGAAUAUUGCACAAUGGGGGAAACCCUGAUGCAGCGACGCCGCGUGAGUGAAGAAGUAUUUCGGUAUGUAAAGCUCUAUCAGCAGGGAAGAAAUACUGACCAUAGGGUCAGCAGACGGUACUUGACUAAGAAGCCCCGGCUAACUACGUGCCAGCAGCCGCGGUAAUACGUAGGGGGCAAGCGUUAUCCGGAUUUACUGGGUGUAAAGGGGGCGCAGACGGCAGCGCAAGCCAGGAGUGAGAGCCCGUGGCCCAACCACGGGACUGCUCUUGGAACUGCGCGGCUGGAGUGCAGGAGGGGCAGGCGGAAUUCCUGGUGUAGCGGUGAAAUGCGUAGAUAUCAGGAGGAACACCGGUGGCGA